RNAcentral lists this ribosomal RNA (320 nucleotides) under Rhipicephalus sanguineus (brown dog tick). RNAcentral's name for it is "partial 16S ribosomal RNA". The record is from RNAcentral. Lineage: Eukaryota; Metazoa; Arthropoda; Arachnida; Ixodida; Ixodidae.
UGCUCCAAAUGAUUUUUUAAAUUGCAUGUGGUAUUUUGACUAUACAAAGGUAUUGAAAUAAGAUUUUAAUUGAAUGCUAAGAGAAUGGAAGUCCAAGAAAAAAACAUUUUUUUAAAUUAAAAAUCUGAAGUUUUUUUAAUUUGUGCAGAAACAAUUAUUUAUAUUAAAGACAAGAAGACCACUAUGAAUUUAUUAAAUUUUUAUUUAAUAUGUAAUUACUAUUAGAAAAUUUUGGCUGGGGCGGCUAGAAAAUAUUAUAAACUUUUUAAAAAUAAAAUGAUCCAUUAUUAAUGAUUUUAUGUUAAAUACUCUAGGGAUAC